AUCAUCCUUUGUCUGUGUGGUUCGAUUCUAUCGUAGCGAAUGGACGACGUUUCCCUUCUAGCCCACGCGUCCAUCAUCGAUGGUCCCUUCAGUUCGACUUCUUCUCGAUUUCGCUUCUCCCCUUUUGGGUAUUUUGGAACCUAGGUUUUUUUCUCUCCCGCAUCGCCCUUUUUACUUGCUGUUUAGCGUUGCCAUCUUUCUCCAGAUUGGCAGGCCGAUAGAAUCCGGCGAGGUCAGCAUGUACGUCUAUAGAAUUACCGCCUGUGAUCUCAGCCAUCUCAGCCACACUCGCGUAACCGUUAAUUUCGUUGUUCUGUUCAGAAGCAGUUGAUUGAGUGGAUGCGAUUCUGUUGAAGCUGAAAAUCUUUGGAUGAUAGUUUUAGUUUUAUGAUCAUUAACCUCCAUUUCUUAUGCACGGUCAAUAACUAUACAAUGCGUGAAGGUAGCCUAGCUUUUAUUGUUCCUCCCUGCGACCUUAUAUUAUCUGCACUCAAAAUAUGUUGUGCAGCAUAUUUUCUGUUUCAUUUUGUCGACAUAUGCACUGUUUAUAUUAUCUGCACUCAACAUAUGCACUGUUUAUAUGCAGUGGAGUGGAUUAGAAUUACCUCAUUUUGAAAUGUUCUUCAAAAUUUAAAGUGUGAUUUUGCAUUUUGUUAGUUAGGCGGCAGCCGGGUUGGAGAGGUAGUGGGAGAAGAAAUGUAUUGCCACCGAAGAAAAUUGUCUAGCUUUCGAUAAAUCACAGAUAUGACAGAUCAAAAGCACUAUGUAUUCGAAUUGCAUAGGGUGUUGUUGCUGGUGCUGUACUCUCCAUGGAUAUUUUGGAGCCGUUGUGUGAUUUAUUGCAUCUAGGCCGGCCUUGCUUAUGGAGAUCUUUGUUGAUGUGCUCAGGCAAAAAUUAUAGAGGAGUUUAUUUGUUGGAGACUUGAAGAGUAAAACUUAGCAGCGCAGUACCGCUGGAAGUGGUAAUUGCUAAUCAGGGAUCGAGCAAGCGAAUCACAGUUCGACCAAGUCUUGAAUGAUGAAUUGAGGCAAAUCAUUGAGGUCUCUUUGUCAAGUUAAAUUUUCAUCUACUUUUCAUUUGUAAUGCUUAGUUCUUCACUCAUGAAUUUGCAUAAGAUUAAAUAAAUUUUCAAACUCGCAGCAACGUGUUGGCACUGUUGCUAGUUAGCUUCUAUUGGGCAUUAUUAAUAUUUCUAUGAUUGGGUGCGUAGUUCUAUGAUUAAGAUUAUUAAUUCAUAUUUUAUGUGGUAUAUAUGUAUUUGUGAUGUUUUCAACAA
This is a non-coding RNA of Malus domestica (apple), 1277 nucleotides long. NCBI's taxonomy places the organism in Eukaryota, Viridiplantae, Streptophyta, Magnoliopsida, Rosales, Rosaceae. The record is from RefSeq and is a predicted model, not a curated record.